This is a small nuclear RNA of Macaca nemestrina (pig-tailed macaque), 107 nucleotides long. NCBI's taxonomy places the organism in Eukaryota, Metazoa, Chordata, Mammalia, Primates, Cercopithecidae. The record is from Ensembl.
GAGCUUUCUUUGGCAGCAUGUAUGCUAAAAUCAGAAAGAUACAGAGAAGAUUAGCAUGGCCCCUGUGCAAGGAUGACAUGCAAAUUUGUGAAGUGUUCCAUAUUUUU